This 371-nucleotide ribosomal RNA is filed under the name uncultured organism. Its description in RNAcentral is "bacterial SSU rRNA". It matches the Rfam family "Bacterial small subunit ribosomal RNA", at positions 526 to 896 of the family's 1533-position model. The record is from RNAcentral.
CGAAGGGGGCAAGCGUUGUUCGGAUUUACUGGGCGUAAGGGGCGCGCAGGCGGCGCGUCAAGUCGGGUGUGAAAGCCCCGGGCUCAACCUGGGAACUGCACUCGAGACUGACGCGCUAGAGUUCGGGAGAGGAUGGCGGAAUUCCCAGUGUAGAGGUGAAAUUCGUAGAUAUUGGGAAGAACACCGGUGGCGAAGGCGGCCAUCUGGACCGAGACUGACGCUGAGGCGCGAAAGCGUGGGGAGCAAACAGGAUUAGAUACCCUGGUAGUCCACGCCGUAAACGAUGUGUGCUAGACGUCGGGAAGCCUAGCUUUCCGGUGUCGCAGCCAACGCUUUAAGCACACCGCCUGGGGAGUACGGCCGCAAGGUUA